AGGACGAACGCUGGCGGCGUGCUUAACACAUGCAAGUCGAGCGGAAAGGCCCUUCGGGGUACUCGAGCGGCGAACGGGUGAGUAACACGUGAGCAAUCUGCCCUUAGCUUCGGGAUAGCCCCGGGAAACCGGGAUUAAUACCGAAUACGACCUCGGCCGACAUCGGCUUUGGUGGAAAGUUUUUCGGCUAGGGAUGAACUCGCGGCCUAUCAGCUUGUUGGUGGGGUAAUGGCCUACCAAGGCGACGACGGGUAGCCGGCCUGAGAGGGCGACCGGCCACACUGGGACUGAGACACGGCCCAGACUCCUACGGGAGGCAGUAGUGGGGAAUAUUGCGCAAUGGGCGAAAGCCUGACGCAGCGACGCCGCGUGGGGGAUGAAGGCCUUCGGGUUGUAAACCCCUUUCAGCAGGGACGAAGCGAAAGUGACGGUACCUGCAGAAGAAGCGCCGGCUAACUACGCGCCAGCAGCCGC
Molecule: ribosomal RNA, 474 nt
Filed under: uncultured bacterium
Lineage: Bacteria
Description: SSU rRNA
Rfam family: Bacterial small subunit ribosomal RNA
Source: RNAcentral